RNAcentral lists this transfer RNA (74 nucleotides) under Anaerolineales bacterium. RNAcentral describes it as "tRNA-Trp". It matches the Rfam family "tRNA". From Rfam's summary of the family: Transfer RNA (tRNA) molecules are approximately 80 nucleotides in length. The record is from RNAcentral. Lineage: Bacteria; Bacillati; Chloroflexota; Anaerolineae; Anaerolineales. RNAcentral also lists the same sequence under 1 other name.
AGGCCAGUAGCUCAAUUUGGCAGAGCACUCGUCUCCAAAACGAGCGGUUGUGGGUUCAAGUCCUACCUGGCCUG